GAGACUUUACUAAGUGAUCAAAAUUUUCAUACUUUAAUGGUGAAAGAAAAAAACAAAGAAACCCAGCAAUUGUCGAUAACUCCUCUCAACCUAAUUCAAACUUCAUAUUUUCCUCUAUGUAUUGGGAAGGGUACUGUACAUAACCAUAAGCUGACCAAGGCAAAAAAAUACCCAAACAAUUCCAUCCUAUCUCUUGUUCUUUUUUCUGUUUGCAACACUCAAGAACACCUCCGGUGGAAGUGUUGUUUCUCAUUUUCCGGCAAAGCAAGGAGUCACACCAACAUCUUCGUUUCCCAUUUCUUAUGUGUUGACCGAAGCAAACGAACCACCCACUGCCGCCUUUUGUAACCACCGGAAAACCACCAUCCUAAAAUUAUCGGGCAUACAUACAGCCAAGUACCCUCAAAACAUCACCACCCACUGCCUCUAUCGUUUUAUUGGAGCUUCUCCACCGAUAACCACUCGAAAUCGCCACCCACCACCCAUUUCCGGUGAAGAAAUCACCCAACAGCUCCCUCCUCUGUAGUUCUGCUGUUUCUAUUCACCACCACCCCCUCCCUUACCUCCGCUCUCCGUAUCCGUCAAGCAUAAGCCAGGACGAAGCAGCAGAAGGUCGCUAGAUCAACCCCCUGCCGCUCAACGCCGCCAAUAUCCACUAUCAUCGGACUUGUUGCUGCCGACGCCAACCACUCACGACCACCGCCUACCCUCUGUAAUACAAAUAGACCCGGUCAUUCGGUUUAAGGGCAUAAAACGUCACGGAACGACAUUCACGACAAAUUCACUCUCGAGCCUCGUUCACGCUUCAAGGGAGAUCGGUGAACCAGCCUUUAACAGAAGAUUUGUUCAUGGAUUUUCAGGCAAUCUAGUCUCAUUUAGUUUUUGUUAUGUCGGCCUAAUUGUUAUCGCGGAUUUAUGAACAAAUUAAUAUAUGUAUGAACCUUGUAUUCGAACUUUAAACUUGAAUGUAACCGCUAUGUUGUUAUUGUUGUAA
Long non-coding RNA from Lactuca sativa (garden lettuce), 994 nucleotides. RefSeq lists it as uncharacterized. The record is from RefSeq and is a predicted model, not a curated record. NCBI's taxonomy places the organism in Eukaryota, Viridiplantae, Streptophyta, Magnoliopsida, Asterales, Asteraceae.